Molecule: ribosomal RNA, 306 nt
Filed under: Dentimodiolus striatulus
Lineage: Eukaryota; Metazoa; Mollusca; Bivalvia; Mytilida; Mytilidae
Description: Mytilidae gen. n. sp. str ST-2020 partial large subunit ribosomal RNA
Rfam family: Eukaryotic large subunit ribosomal RNA
Source: RNAcentral
UAAGCAUAUCACUAAGCGGAGGAAAAGAAACUAACUAGGAUUCCCCUAGUAAUGGCGAAUGAAGCGGGAAGAGCUCAGCACCGAAUCCCGCAGCCUUGCGCUGCAGGGAACUGUGGUGUUUGGGACGUCUAUUGGCGCGAUGUCCGGGUGCCUAGGUCCUCCUGAUCGGGGCCUCUCCCAGAGCGGGUGUCAGGCCUUUACCGGCACCUGGCGUCGUGCCUCAGAGCGUCCUCGGAGUCGGGUUGUUUGAGAAUGCAGCCCAAAGCGGGUGGUAAACUCCAUCUAAGGCUAAAUACCGGCACGAGU